UGACCUCGGAUCAGGUA
Molecule: ribosomal RNA, 17 nt
Filed under: Penicillium citrinum
Lineage: Eukaryota; Fungi; Ascomycota; Eurotiomycetes; Eurotiales; Aspergillaceae
Also listed under: 30 other names
Description: partial 28S ribosomal RNA
Source: RNAcentral